Long non-coding RNA from Mesocricetus auratus (golden hamster), 354 nucleotides. RefSeq lists it as uncharacterized. The record is from RefSeq and is a predicted model, not a curated record. NCBI's taxonomy places the organism in Eukaryota, Metazoa, Chordata, Mammalia, Rodentia, Cricetidae. The transcript is spliced from 2 exons.
UAACACCUCGUAGUGCGCAGCGGCUGAGCCUCCUGAAGUCUCGCGAGAAUUGAGAAGGGCCGACUGCGGGGGGGGGGGCAAAACGGAAUGGGAAAUGAAUGGUGGGGAAAGAAGGACUUCGCCAGUAUUCUAAGUUUAAAAAGUCGCCGGGACCUGACGACCUGAAUUCGAUCUGUAGAACCCGCGGAAGAAGACUCCUCAAAGUUGUCCUCUGAUCUUACGUGCGCCGCAGAGCGUGGUCUCACACACUCCCACACACUGAUAAAUGUAACUUAAAAACAGAACCAAGAAGGUGAUGACAUUUUCAAACCUGAGAAUUGACAUAAAAGAUUAAAGAUGGAUUUGGGAGGUGGC